This 495-nucleotide ribosomal RNA is filed under the name uncultured bacterium. RNAcentral's name for it is "partial 16S ribosomal RNA". It matches the Rfam family "Bacterial small subunit ribosomal RNA", at positions 28 to 507 of the family's 1533-position model. The record is from RNAcentral.
GAUGAACGCUGGCGGCGUGCCUAAUACAUGCAAGUAGAACGCUGAAGGAGGAGCUUGCUCUUCUGGAUGAGUUGCGAACGGGUGAGUAACGCGUAGGUAACCUGCCUGGUAGCGGGGGAUAACUAUUGGAAACGAUAGCUAAUACCGCAUGACAACAGUUAUUGCAUGAUAACUGUUUAAAAGGGGCAACUGCUCCACUACCAGAUGGACCUGCGUUGUAUUAGCUAGUUGGUGAGGUAACGGCUCACCAAGGCGACGAUACAUAGCCGACCUGAGAGGGGGAUCGGCCACACUGGGACUGAGACACGGCCCAGACUCCUACGGGAGGCAGCAGUAGGGAAUCUUCGGCAAUGGACGGAAGUCUGACCGAGCAACGCCGCGGGAGUGAAGAAGGGUUUCGGAUCGUAAAGCUCUGUUGUAAGAGAAGAACGAGUGUGAGAGUGGAAAGUUCACACUGUGACGGUAGCUUACCAGAAAGGGACGGCUAACUACGUG